AUGAAAAUGCAGAUCAAGAUAGUAGUCCUAUCUUCCAUGUGAUGAAGCUUUCAAGCUCAUUUUGAUUAUCAGUUGUGCUAGCACUUAUGUGUACUAUGUGAGUAUGGCUAAUUUCAUUUAGCUGUUAAUUGGCUAUAUGAAUUAUAACUGCCACUUCAAGAUAUGUCAAAUAAAAUAAACACAAUCUAUAUUGAUGUAGGUGAUUAGAGGAUGGAAGGAUGCAGUUCCUUGAUAAACUGAACUUGUGGAGCAACAACUGGUAGAAAGAAAAGGGCGAGAGAGUGCGUUACUGGAAUUGUGUGGACAUGGGUUAGGCUGCUGUCAGCCUGUCAUACAAAAAUAGAAGACAUGGUUUAUCUCACCACUUUGUGCCGAAUUAUGGAAGGAAGAAAGGACAAAAGAAUGGCAUUCAGAGCAACAAUUGAGCAAGCACAACUGCGUUAGCACGGGCCAACUUACUAGUUCAAGAAAA
Molecule: long non-coding RNA, 472 nt
Organism: Panicum virgatum (switchgrass)
Lineage: Eukaryota; Viridiplantae; Streptophyta; Magnoliopsida; Poales; Poaceae
Exons: 4
Source: RefSeq, a predicted model, not a curated record